Molecule: ribosomal RNA, 396 nt
Filed under: Nutomonas limna
Lineage: Eukaryota; Ancyromonadida; Planomonadidae
Description: Ancyromonas limna partial small subunit ribosomal RNA
Rfam family: Eukaryotic small subunit ribosomal RNA
Source: RNAcentral
GCUUGUCUCAAAGAUUAAGCCAUGCAUGUCUAAGUAUAAAUGGUAUACAGUGAAACUGCGAAUGGCUCAUUAAAACAGUUAUAGUUUAUUUGGUAAUCGAAUUUACAUGGAUAACCGUGGUAAUUCUAGAGCUAAUACAUGCGUCAAUGCCCGACUUUGGAAGGGCUGUGUUUAUUAGAUCCAAAACCAAUGCGGGGCAACCCGGUUACUGGUGAUUCAUAAUAACCUAUCGGACCGAAUGGCCUUGCGCCGUCGGUGCAUCAUUCAAAUUUCUGCCCUAUCAAUUUGUUGGUAGUAUAUAGGACUACCAAGAUGAUUACGGGUAACGGAGAAUUAGGGUUUGAUUCCGGAGAGGGAGCCUGAGAAACGGCUACCACAUCUAAGGAAGGCAGCAGG